UAGGGAAUCUUCCACAAUGGACGCAAGUCUGAUGGAGCAACGCCGCGUGAGUGAAGAAGGUUUUCGGACCGUAAAGCUCUGUUGUUGGUGAAGAAGGAUAGAGGUAGUAACUGGCCUUUAUUUGACGGUAAUCAACCAGAAAGUCACGGCUACCACGUGCCAGCAGCCGCGGUAAUACGUAGGUGGCAAGCGUUGUCCGGAUUUAUUGGGCGUAAAGCGAGCGCAGGCGGAAGAAUAAGUCUGAUGUGAAAGCCCUCGGCUUAACCGAGGAAUUGCAUCGGAAACUGUUUUCUUGAGUGCAGAA
Molecule: ribosomal RNA, 304 nt
Filed under: uncultured bacterium
Lineage: Bacteria
Description: partial 16S ribosomal RNA
Rfam family: Bacterial small subunit ribosomal RNA
Source: RNAcentral